GAGGAAUAUUGGUCAAUGGGCGCGAGCCUGAACCAGCCAAGUAGCGUGCAGGAUGACGGCCCUAUGGGUUGUAAACUGCUUUUGUAUGGGGAUAAAGUCAAUCACGUGUGAUUGUUUGCAGGUACCAUACGAAUAAGGACCGGCUAAUUCCGUGCCAGCAGCCGCGGUAAUACGGAAGGUCCGGGCGUUAUCCGGAUUUAUUGGGUUUAAAGGGAGCGUAGGCCGGAGAUUAAGUGUGUUGUGAAAUGUAGACGCUCAACGUCUGACUUGCAGCGCAUACUGGUUUCCUUGAGUGCGCACAACGUUGGCGGAAUUCGUCGUGUAGCGGUGAAAUGCUUAGAUAUGACGAAGAACUCCGAUUGCGAAGGCAGCUGACGGGAGCGCAACUGACGCUUAAGCUCGAAGGUGCGGGUAUCGAACAGGAUUAGAUACCCUGGUAGUCCGCACAGUAAACGAUGGAUGCCCGCUGUUGGUACCUGGUAUCAGCGGCUAAGCGAAAGCAUUAAGCAUCCCACCUGGGGAGUACGCCGGCAACGGUG
This 539-nucleotide ribosomal RNA is filed under the name uncultured bacterium. RNAcentral's name for it is "bacterial SSU rRNA". It matches the Rfam family "Bacterial small subunit ribosomal RNA", at positions 356 to 896 of the family's 1533-position model. The record is from RNAcentral.